AUUAAACCGUAUAUAGCUAUUGUGAUUUGUGCUGCUAUAAACAUUGAUGUGGCUGUGUCCCUGUAGUAUGCUCUUCUUAGGUCUUACAGCCACAUCAAUGUUUAUAGCAGCACAAUUCACAAUAGCUAGAAUGUGGAAU
Molecule: microRNA precursor, 139 nt
Filed under: Marmota monax (woodchuck)
Lineage: Eukaryota; Metazoa; Chordata; Mammalia; Rodentia; Sciuridae
Source: RNAcentral